CAUCCAACCCCCCUUGUCACUACGUGUGGCUCCGCGACCACACUCAGGUCCAAGUGGGGCCCGCCUACACCAUCGCCAGCGCCAGCCGCGCCCACACAGGCCUGUACACCUGCCUGGCCCACAACAGCCGCCUGGACACCCACAGCCAGACCACCGUCAGGCUCACCAUCUACUGUGAGUGUGGGGGAAGGGGCCACCACAGCCCUGUGUUCUGGCAGACUCCAGACGCCCUGUGGAAAGCGGUGUAGACGUCAUAGGGGAGGGAGGUGUGGGAGUCAGGAGGUGGAGAGCAGGGGGACAGGCUGAGAAAGCUGUGGGAAGGGACAGGGAGAGAGGAAGCCCCUGACCCUAUGUCGACCUCAUCCCCAAGUGAUUCUUCCCACGGCCUUGGGGACUGAACUGAGGCACAGAGAAGGGUAGAGAAAUGACCGUGAGGCAAAGCACCCAGUGGCAAAGAAGAGGCAAUGGGGAAACUUCCCCUCUGGGGGCUUCCACGGGCCUCUGGGAUUCCUCAGGGGCUCUGAACUCCCGCUCACCCCGUCAGCUCCUGCCCCUGACCUGAGAGCUCAGCUCUUUGCUCUCCAGCCCCUCAGAGAAAUCGAGUCGUUUCCCUCCCACCCACUUCUCGCUCCUUCUCCUACCCUUGACCCUGUGGCCUCCGGGCCUCUAAACUGGGCCCGGGGGCCACGGUGCCCUGGCAACGGAGUCUGUCCGGCCCCAUCCUCACCCACUUCUCCGCCCAGAUCCCCCUGAGGGGCAGCCCUCCUGUUCUGCGCUCCCCACCCUUGGGGCUGUGACCUUGGUCUGCGCCUGGCAGGGGGGGCUUCCAGCUGCCCGGCUGCGGUGGGAAGGGCCCCGGGGAACUGGCCCUGCUGCUCUCAGCAAUGUCACCUGGAGUCGUGGCACCACCCAGCUCCCUAACGGCGGCGUUUUCACCUGUGCCGGCGAGCACCCAGCCCUGGCGCUGCCUGCCCUCUGCAGGAUCACGCUGUGUGAGUGGACAUAGGACACAGCAGGGCUCGGAUGUUCCAGGCAGAGGCAUGGGUGGGAGCCAGGGGAGAGCCUUAGGGGAGCCCUGGGACCUGGGAUGCGGCUCCAGAUCGCAAACUCCAAGACUUGCCAUGUAGCAAGGAGGUGGGCAGCACUCAGCUCUGACUCUCGCUUCCAACCUCCUCUCCACUCCAGCCGGGCGUCCAGCCACACUGCCCUGUCCUCCGCAGUUUGGGCUUGGAGCCCUGUGACGCCUUCCUGUCUCCCAGCCUCCAGGGUCAGCAGGCUGUCAUUGACCUUACACCAUACUUCUACUGCCCUAUUUCAUGUUGGCCUUGAAAUGUGCCUUUAGCUUUCUCUCCGCUUUGGAGAUUUUUACCCACCCCCCAAGACCAAGUUCAGAUGCCAUCCUAUCUUCAAAGUGCUUCUCCCUAAAGCCCCACAAAGUUUGUCUUUCUACCUGUACUCUAGCAUUCAUCAAAUUAUAUUGUCAUUGUUUGCUUGGUGUCUGUUCUCACUAUUUCUCUGGUACAUGGCCAGCUCUCAAUAAUGAUGAAUGAAUGAACGAGUUACUGAGUCAAUGGAGGAAUGAGUGAGUGAGCAAUAAAUGAAGGAAGGAGGGGUGGGGUGGGGUAGGCCUACCAAGCCCUUCCUCCGCCUGUAGGGCCAGGCUGAGCCAUUAUUCCCUAUCUAGGGGAACCCCUCCGGAGCCCCACCUGCUGGACCACAGCCACAGUUGGAGACCAGUUCAUCAUGCUGAGCUGUGAGUGGCCUGGAGGCGAGCCCCGUGCCAUGCUGAGCUGGCUGGAUGGACAGCAGCAAACCCUGGGCACCACUAGCCCCUCACUGGCCAUCCACCUCCUGCAUACCCAGGACGAUCUGGCUGGCCGAGAGUUCACCUGCAGGGGCAGUCACCCCCUCAGGGUCCCUGACCCCCACUGCCGGCUCCUGCUGGGUGAGUAGGGGCUGGUGGCUUGGUUCUGGGGCGGAGGUGGGAGAGCAGCCCUUUGGAAUUGUGAUGAGGGCCUCUGGGGGGGGGGGGUGGUGUCUGCGCUGGAUGCAAAGUGAGUCAGGAGACUGAGUCACCUCACCUCCCAGAACUCAAGUUGUUUCGAUCCAUAAAGUCAGGGGGUUUGGUCCGGGUCUGUGUUGCCCAAUAAAAAUAGGUGAGCCGUAUAUAUAAUUUAAAAUUUUACAUUUAAAAAAAGUACAAAGAAAUAAGAGAAACAUUUUAUGGAACUCAAUAUAUCCAACAUAUUAUUACUUCGAUGUUUAAUAAUAAACAAUUAUGAAUGAGGUAUCUUAUUCUACUGUCCUCAAAAUCCAGUGUAUUUACUUACAACCCAUCUCAGUGUGGUCUGGCCCCCUUUCAAGUGUGCAACAGUCCCGUGUGACCAGGGGCUACCGCUAUUGGGCAGCACCCUGUCUAGCCGGUGAGGGAAUUCUGUCUCCCUCAUUUGCAUCAAUUUGCAUGAGAGGUGCCUGAUUAUAUUCCUGCCUUGCAUUAGUGUUUCAGGUGUCAGAGGUCUCUCUCUUCCUCUCUCACUGCUUCUAUUUGUUUUGGUCUGGUUUCCUUCUCUGUCCUCAUCUGGCCCUGCCAGUCCUUUUUAUUGCCAGCUCCGCGAAAAAGAGUUAAAUACUGAAGUGAAAAAUGUGAGAAAACACACAGUCACAUGUAGCAGUUCGCACAAAAUGAUUUACAUCUUGGUCUCCAGGGGUUUGGUGACAGCCUCCCUGGGCUCUCAGAAGGCCCUCAUCUGGGAAUAUUUCCCUCCCUUAUUAGUCAGUCUUGGGGUUGGAAAUUCUAUCCUAGGAGAUUCACUGACACCUGAAACUCUGGGUCUUUAGGACUCAGUCCAUAAAAAGCAUCUGCUCUGGGCCCAGCCCAAUGCCCUGGGGGUGGGAGCUGGUGGGCUAUUUAGGGAGGUAUUAGGAGGCCCCAUGCCAGGUACUAGGAGGGAGCUGGUUAACACAGGGGUGACUAAGGCAGGGGCCCCACCUAUAGGAGCUGAGACUAGAGUUGGGGCCUGAAGGCACACUGCUAUUGUCAAGAAAUCUGGAACCAGAUUGUGGCAGGACUCUGGCAUAGAACGGGAUCCUGGAAGAGGCAGCAGACUGGCCCAAGACAAGCUCCACUGCCAACUCCACUGGCCCCGUCUCUCCUCUGUUUCCCCUCCCUAUCCCCUCCACUGCUGGGCUACCCCCAAGCCUUCCCACUAGCCCAGGCACGGGGGACACCUUCCAGCCUCACCCUCUCUGUCCCUGCAGAAGCCCCACAGGUGGCAGUGGCUAAGCCCCAGGUGUCCGUGCUGGAAGGGGGAGAGGCCUGGCUGGGGUGUGCCCUCCUGGGGGGCACGCCACCUGUCCAGCUCCUCUGGCUGGGACCCCAGCGACGGCAAGU
This 3391-nucleotide long non-coding RNA is filed under the name Lynx pardinus (Iberian lynx). The record is from RNAcentral. Lineage: Eukaryota; Metazoa; Chordata; Mammalia; Carnivora; Felidae.